This 406-nucleotide long non-coding RNA is filed under the name Equus asinus (donkey). Its description in RNAcentral is "lncRNA (ENSEASG00005032466.1)". The record is from RNAcentral. Lineage: Eukaryota; Metazoa; Chordata; Mammalia; Perissodactyla; Equidae.
UGUGCUUCCUGGUAGGAUGCACUGAGAAGAACACAACAACACUUGAGUGAUAUUCCAGCCAAAGAUGAAUAACCUGAAUCUAAUGGACCCAGACGUGGCCUUGGCUAUCUCCCCAAGCAGUGCUGUUUGUUUUCAUGGAAAGAUGUUAUUAUAACCAUUUUAUGUGUACUAAGGAUACAUAGAGAGCAAAAGUCCCUUAAGAGAUAAGAGGGAAAGUGUCAGCUACUGACUCUCCGAAGUUCUGUGCAUGAGUUCCAUUGAAACCACCAUUCGAUUCAUCGUCAGUAACUAAAUAAACGGUGUGUGUAAGAUUCAAACACAUGAGUCCCAGCUGGGCAAACUAAUUCUACCCUUCACUAUUUAAUACUUGUAAGUUAUGUUAACAUUAUAUCUAAGCUCCCGUGGA